GGAUGCAUGGCAUAGUGGUUUGAGUGUUGGACUACAACUCUGGAGACCAGGGUCCGAUUCCCAGCACGGCCG
Molecule: transfer RNA, 72 nt
Filed under: Phrynosoma platyrhinos (Desert horned lizard)
Lineage: Eukaryota; Metazoa; Chordata; Lepidosauria; Squamata; Phrynosomatidae
Description: tRNA-OTHER
Source: RNAcentral